Molecule: non-coding RNA, 72 nt
Organism: Dipodomys ordii (Ord's kangaroo rat)
Lineage: Eukaryota; Metazoa; Chordata; Mammalia; Rodentia; Heteromyidae
Source: Rfam
GGGAAGCUGGCUCAGUGAUAGAGUGCUUGCCUUGCAUGCAUGAGGCCCUGGGUUCGAUUCCUUGGUACCACA